RNAcentral lists this ribosomal RNA (253 nucleotides) under uncultured bacterium. Its description in RNAcentral is "partial 16S ribosomal RNA". It matches the Rfam family "Bacterial small subunit ribosomal RNA", at positions 524 to 776 of the family's 1533-position model. The record is from RNAcentral.
UACGAGAGGUGCAAGCGUUAUUCGGAUUUAUUGGGCGUAAAGGGUGCGUAGGCGGCAUAUUAAGUCUGUUGUUAAAUUUCCCGGCCUAACUGGGAAUCGGCGGCGGAUACUGAUGUGCUAGAGGGUGGAAGAGAGAAGUGGAAUUCUUGGAGUAGCGGUAAAAUGCGUAGAUCUCAAGAGGAACACCGAUGGCGAAGGCAGCUUCUUGGUCCAUUUCUGACGCUAAUGCACGAAAGCGUGGGGAGCAAACAGG